This 329-nucleotide ribosomal RNA is filed under the name uncultured eukaryote. Its description in RNAcentral is "partial 18S ribosomal RNA". It matches the Rfam family "Eukaryotic small subunit ribosomal RNA", at positions 1470 to 1796 of the family's 1831-position model. The record is from RNAcentral.
CCCUUAGAUGUUUUGGGCCGCACGCGCGCUACAAUGAUGAAUUCAACGAGUUUAUAACCUUGGUUGAAAAGCCUGGGUAUUCUUUUGAACUUUCGUCGUGAUGGGGCUAGACCCUUGCAAUUAUUGGUCUCCAACGAGGAAUUCCUAGUAAACGCAAGUCAUCAGCUUGCAUUGAUUACGUCCCUGCCCUUUGUACACACCGCCCGUCGCACCUACCGAUUGAAUGGUCCGGUGAAAUCUUCGGAUUGAGACUUUGAUUUCUUCACGGAAAACGCUGUUUUAAAAAGUUGAUUAAACCUUACCAUUUAGAGGAAGGUGAAGUCGUAACA